CGUUGGCGGCGUGCUUAACACAUGCAAGUCUACUUGAAUAUUUUCUUCGGAAUUUAGGAUGGUGGCGAACGGGUGAGUAACGCGUAGAUAAUCUGCCCUUUAGACUGGGAUAAGCUCGGGAAACUGAGUCUAAUACCGGAUGUGAUCAUCGAGAUGCAUGUUUUGAUGAUUAAAGAACUUGAUUCGCUAAAGGAUGAGUCUGCGUGGCAUUAGCUAGUUGGUGAGGUAACAGCUCACCAAGGCAUCGAUGCCUAGCUGGUCUGAGAGGAUGAUCAGCCACACUGGGACUGAGAUACGGCCCAGACUCCUACGGGAGGCAGCAGUGAGGAAUAUUGCACAAUGGGGGCAACCCUGAUGCAGCAACGCCGCGUGUAUGAAGAAUCGGUUUAUCCGUGUAAAGUACUGUUGAUUGGGAAGAACGGCAGGGUUGGUAGCCUUGUUUGACGGUACCAGUUAAGAAAGCUCCGGCUAACUCCGUGCCAGCAGCCGCGGUAAUACGGAGGGAGCAAACGUUGUCCGGAAUCAUUGGGCGUAAAGGGUACGAAGGUGGGACCUUAAGUCAGUUGUUAAAGAUUACAGCUUAACUGUGAUUUGCAAUUGAAACUGGGGUUCUUGAGUUCGAGAGGGGACGGUGGAAUAUUUAGUGUAGCGGUGGAAUGCGUAGAUAUUAAAUAGAACACCUGAGGCGAAGGCGACCGUCUGGCUCGUAACUGACACUCAAGUACGAAAGCAUGGGUAGCGAACAGGAUUAGAUACCCUGGUAGUCCAUGCCGUAAACGAUGGAUACUAGAUGUCCGGGGAACUAACCCCCUGGGUGUCGCAGCUAACGCAUUAAGUAUCCCGCCUGGGGAGUACGAUCGCAAGGUUGAAACUCAAAGGAAUUGACGGGGGCCCGCACAAGCGGUGGAGCAUGUGGAUUAAUUCGAUGCAACGCGAAGAACCUUACCUGGGCUUGAACCGUACUUGCCCGUUAUAGAGAUAUAACUUCCGAGCAAUGGGACACCUGUAGAGGUGCUGCAUGGCUGUCGUCAGCCCGUGUCGUGAGAUGUUGGGUUAAGUCCCGCAACGAGCGCAACCCUUAUCUUUAGUUGCCAGCGCGUAAUGGCGGGGACUCUAGAGAGACUGCCUGUGUUAAACAGGAGGAAGGGUGGGGAUGACGUCAAGUCCUCAUGGCCCUUAUGUCCAGGGCUUCACACGUGCUACAAUGGAUUGGACAAAGUGCAGCUAUACCGCGAGGUAAUGCGAAUCACUAAACCAGUUCUUAGUUCGGAUUGGAGUCUGCAACUCGACUCCAUGAAGCCGGAAUCGCUAGUAAUCGUGGAUCAGCAUGCCACGGUGAAUACGUUCCCGGGCCUUGUAACACCGCCCGUCACACCAUGGAAGUCGAUAGUGCUCGAAGUGACUGAUCUAACCAGCAAUGGAGGAAGGUUACUAAAGCAAGAUUAUAACUGG
This 1452-nucleotide ribosomal RNA is filed under the name uncultured prokaryote. RNAcentral describes it as "partial 16S ribosomal RNA". It matches the Rfam family "Bacterial small subunit ribosomal RNA". The record is from RNAcentral.